This 202-nucleotide unclassified non-coding RNA is filed under the name Hevea brasiliensis (rubber tree). Lineage: Eukaryota; Viridiplantae; Streptophyta; Magnoliopsida; Malpighiales; Euphorbiaceae. The record is from RNAcentral.
UUUAUAGCAAUUCCAAUAGUCACCACCCAUAAGAUGGCACCCAAACCUACCAGAAACGAGAUAAAAACGAAACCGCUGUUACGGCCUCUUGGCCUCCUCGCAACAACAGCAGUAGUAGAGUUCUGCCCUUCAACAAUAAUCUGCCUGGUUGUCUUAAAGCUCACAACCCGUUCAAGUGCCCUAGUAAUCAAGGCAUUCUCUG